GCGCCGCCCCCUUCUCCUGGUCUGCUAGACCCAGCCCAGCGAGCAAAUAACAAGAGGAAAGUGGAGAGGCGGGGCUGGCUGAGCUCCCACCUUCGGGGAGGUGGGAAUUAAAUUGCCUCUUGGGGGCGACGGCGACAGCCCAAGCCAAGCUGAAACAAGCAUGGUAUCGGGGGAUGCUGUCAUCGUACCUAGAACGCUGGAAGAACCCGCACUACAGAGAAAGAGGAGGGAAAAUGCAGUUACACUGGAGCCACAAGUGCUUCCAAAGCACAGCAUAAGGCUGAGCCCCGCUUUACUCUGCAACUUGGAGGAAGAGUAAAGCUAUUCACUAACCAGGACGCACUCAGAAGUGGCAAGGAUGUCACUGCUUCCCACUAGUACAGGUUGGUCCCCCUUCUGUGCGUGCCAAAGGACUUGGGGAAGGAGAGGGGAUGACACAAAUAAUGGGUGACUAUCAAGGCCGGCUGAAACUGAUGGACCCCUGCUUAGAGAUCACUGAGAGGUUGUAGUAUCAGAGUAUUUUAAGGGAGGAGAUAUUUCAACAGGGACUAAGUAGCCUGGGAGAUAUACCAUGUGUGUCUGGCUUUUUCUCAUCCACAGUAACAUUUCAGGUUCUUUAGACAUAAAGCAGCAAGUUAAUGUGGUCAUUCUGGCAAUCCAGCAAGCACAAUGUAUAUUUAUACAGAUACAUUCAAGUUUUGCAAGAGCGCAGAGUAUCAUGCAGUAGGCAGCCUUCAGAGAAGAAAUGCAUGAGCUGAAAAAUGUACUAGUAGAUUUCCCACAGAAACCGAGAAUCAAUAAUGUCCUUUUAUUUUACUGGAAAAGGCAAUUCAAGCAGCAAAGAUUUUUAACAUGCAUUAGCAAUGAAUAAAGCUGUUUAAUUUCUGAA
This is a long non-coding RNA of Hemicordylus capensis (graceful crag lizard), 889 nucleotides long. RefSeq lists it as uncharacterized. The record is from RefSeq and is a predicted model, not a curated record. Lineage: Eukaryota; Metazoa; Chordata; Lepidosauria; Squamata; Cordylidae. The transcript is spliced from 3 exons.